RNAcentral lists this ribosomal RNA (404 nucleotides) under uncultured microorganism. RNAcentral's name for it is "bacterial SSU rRNA". It matches the Rfam family "Archaeal small subunit ribosomal RNA", at positions 330 to 735 of the family's 1478-position model. The record is from RNAcentral.
GUGCACCAGGCGCGAAACCUCCGCAAUGCGGGAAACCGCGACGGGGGGACCCCGAGUGCCGUGGCAACGCCACGGCUUUUCCGGAGUGUAAAAAGCUCCGGGAAUAAGGGCUGGGCAAGGCCGGUGGCAGCCGCCGCGGUAAUACCGGCGGCCCGAGUGGUGGCCGCUAUUAUUGGGCCUAAAGCGUCCGUAGCCGGGCCCGUAAGUCCCUGGCGAAAUCCCACGGCUCAACCGUGGGGCUUGCUGGGGAUACUGCGGGUCUUGGGACCGGGAGAGGCGGGGGGUACCCCUGGGGUAGGGGUGAAAUCCUAUAAUCCCAGGGGGACCGCCAGUGGCGAAGGCGCCCCGCUGGAACGGGUCCGACGGUGAGGGACGAAGGCCAGGGGAGCAAACCGGAUUAGAUA